This 64-nucleotide transfer RNA is filed under the name Macropsis irenae. RNAcentral describes it as "tRNA-Ile". The record is from RNAcentral. Lineage: Eukaryota; Metazoa; Arthropoda; Insecta; Hemiptera; Cicadellidae.
AAUAGGAUGCCUGACUAAAGGAUUAUUUUGAUAGAAUAAAUUAAGUAAAUUUUUACUCCUAUUG